GUAGGGAAUAUUGGGCAAUGGAUGCAAGUCUGACCCAGCCAUCCCGCGUGCCGGAAGAAGGCCCUCAGGGUUGUAAACGGCUUUUGACGGUGAAGAAUCGACAGGAUGCGUCCUGUUUUUACGGUAGCCGUUGAAUAAGCACCGGCUAACUCCGUGCCAGCAGCCGCGGUAAUACGGAGGGUGCGAGCGUUGUCCGGAUUUAUUGGGUUUAAAGGGUGCGUAGGCUGGAAGGUCAGUCAGCGGUGAAAAGCUGUCGCUUAACGAUAGUCUUGCCGCAGAUACUUCCUUUCUUGGAUGAGGAGGAGGCCACUGGAACGGAUGGUGUAGCGGUGAAAUGCAUAGAUAUCAUCCAGAACACCGAUUGCGAAGGCAGGUGGCUGUACCUUAAUCGACGCUGAUGCACGAAAGCAUGGGGAGCAAACAGGAUUAGAAACCCGGGUAGUCC
This 445-nucleotide ribosomal RNA is filed under the name uncultured bacterium. RNAcentral's name for it is "partial 16S ribosomal RNA". It matches the Rfam family "Bacterial small subunit ribosomal RNA", at positions 354 to 796 of the family's 1533-position model. The record is from RNAcentral.